GGAAAAGAAACCAACAGGGAUUGCCUCAGUAACGGCGAGUGAAGCGGCAAACUAAAUUUGAAAUCUGGCCGCAAGGUCCGAGUUGUAAUUUGUAGAGGAUGCUUUUGGCGAGGUGACUUCCGAGUUCCCUGGAACGGGACGCCAUAGAGGGUGAGAGCCCCGUACGGUAGUGACACCGAGCCUCUGUAAAGCUCCUUCGACGAGUCGAGUAGUUUGGGAAUGCUGCUCUAAAUGGGAGGUGUAAGUCUUCUAAAGCUAAAUACCGGCCAGAGACCGAUAGCGCACAAGUAGAGUGAUCGAAAGAUGAAAAGCACUUUGAAAAGAGAGUUAAAAAGUACGUGAAAUUGUUGAAAGGGAAGCAUUUAUGACCAGACUUGGGCUUGGUUGAACAUCCGGCGUUCUCGCCGGUGCACUCUGCCAGCCUAGGCCAGCAUCAGUUCGCGCCGGGGGACAAAGGUAGCGGGAAUGUGACUCCCUCCGGGGAGUGUUAUAGCCCGUUGCGCAAUGCCCUGGGGUGACGAGGACGCGCUUCGGCACGGAUGCUGGCGUAAUGGUCAUCAAUGACCCGU
This 569-nucleotide ribosomal RNA is filed under the name uncultured fungus. Its description in RNAcentral is "eukaryotic LSU rRNA". It matches the Rfam family "Eukaryotic large subunit ribosomal RNA", at positions 55 to 652 of the family's 3401-position model. The record is from RNAcentral. Lineage: Eukaryota; Fungi.